GGACCCCACUGCUAUCGGGAUAAAGACUAAGUCAUGCAAGUCAAGCGUCUCCAAGCUAUGUUGGAGAUGCGGCGUACGGCUCAGUAACACGUGGUUAAUCUACCCUUGGGACGGGAAUAACUCCGGGAAACUGGAGCUAAUACCCGAUGGGCGGGAACGCCUGGAAUGGUCUCCCGCUGAAUUGGCGUUGAAAACAUGCUUUCAACGUUGCCCAAGGAUGAGACCGCGGCCGAUCAGGUUGUUGGUGAGGUAACGGCUCACCAAGCCUAUAACCGGUACGGGCCCUGAGAGGGGGAGCCCGGAGAUGGAACCUGAGACAAGGUUCCAGGUCCUACGGGACGCAGCAGGCGCGAAAACUCCACAAUGCACGAAAGUGCGAUGGGGUUAUCCCGAGUGCCGUCUGAUGAAGAUGGCUUUUCACUGGUGUAAUGAGCCAGUGGAAUAAGGGGAGGGCAAGACUGGUGUCAGCCGCCGCGGUAAUACCAGCUCCCCGAGUGGUGUGGACGAUUAUUGGGCCUAAAGCGUUCGUAGCCGGCUUAACAAGUCUUCCGUUAAAUCUGGCGACCCAAUCGUCAGGCUGCGGGGGAUACUGUUAGGCUAGGGGGCGGGAGAGGUCGACGGUAUUCUCAGGGUAGGGGUGAAAUCCUAAGAUCCUGAGAGGACCACCAGUGGCGAAGGCGGUCGACCAGAACGCGCCCGACGGUGAGGGACGAAAGCUGGGGUAGCGAACCGGAUUAGAUACCCGGGUAGUCCCAGCCGUAAACUAUGCAGGCUAGGUAUUGGAGCGGCUACGAACCGCUUCAGUGCCGCAGGGAAGCUAUUAAGCCUGCCGCCUGGGGAGUACGGUCGCAAGACUGAAACUUAA
This 865-nucleotide ribosomal RNA is filed under the name uncultured archaeon. RNAcentral describes it as "bacterial SSU rRNA". It matches the Rfam family "Archaeal small subunit ribosomal RNA", at positions 19 to 859 of the family's 1478-position model. The record is from RNAcentral.